RNAcentral lists this ribosomal RNA (487 nucleotides) under Fusarium sp. JMSR-2013. Its description in RNAcentral is "eukaryotic LSU rRNA". It matches the Rfam family "Eukaryotic large subunit ribosomal RNA", at positions 114 to 624 of the family's 3401-position model. The record is from RNAcentral. Lineage: Eukaryota; Fungi; Ascomycota; Sordariomycetes; Hypocreales; Nectriaceae.
UUUGAAAUCUGGCUCUCGGGCCCGAGUUGUAAUUUGUAGAGGAUGCUUUUGGUGAGGUGCCUUCCGAGUUCCCUGGAACGGGACGCCAUAGAGGGUGAGAGCCCCGUCUGGUUGGACACCGAUCCUCUGUAAAGCUCCUUCGACGAGUCGAGUAGUUUGGGAAUGCUGCUCUAAAUGGGAGGUAUAUGUCUUCUAAAGCUAAAUACCGGCCAGAGACCGAUAGCGCACAAGUAGAGUGAUCGAAAGAUGAAAAGAACUUUGAAAAGAGAGUUAAACAGUACGUGAAAUUGUUGAAAGGGAAGCGCUUGUGACCAGACUUGGGCUUGGUUGAUCAUCCGGGGUUCUCCCCGGUGCACUCUUCCGGCCCAGGCCAGCAUCAGUUCGCCCUGGGGGACAAAGGCUUCGGGAAUGUGGCUCUCUCCGGGGAGUGUUAUAGCCCGUUGCGUAAUACCCUGUGGCGGACUGAGGUUCGCGCAUUCGCAAGGAU